Molecule: ribosomal RNA, 459 nt
Filed under: uncultured bacterium
Lineage: Bacteria
Description: SSU rRNA
Rfam family: Bacterial small subunit ribosomal RNA
Source: RNAcentral
AGAACGAACGCUGGCGGCAUGCCUAACACAUGCAAGUCGAACGCUUGUCCGGCUUCGGCCGGGCAGGAGUGGCGCACGGGUGAGUAGCGCGUGGGAACCUGCCCUGUUGUGGGGGAUAACCGAGGGAAACUUCGGCUAAUACCGCAUGCGCCCGGGGAAACCCGGGAAAGAUUUAUCGCAGCAGGAGGGGCCCGCGUCGGAUUAGGUAGUUGGUAGGGUAACGGCCUACCAAGCCUGUGAUCCGUAGCUGGUCUGAGAGGAUGAUCAGCCACACUGGGACUGAGACACGGCCCAAACUCCUACGGGAGGCAGCAGUGGGAAUAUUGGACAAUGGGCGCAAGCCUGAUCCAGCCAUGCCGCGUGAGUGAUGAAGGCCCUAGGGUUGUAAAGCUCUUUGUGCGGGAAGAUAAUGACGGUACCGCAAGAAUAAGCCCCGGCUAACUUCGUGCCAGCAGCCGC